Molecule: ribosomal RNA, 429 nt
Filed under: uncultured prokaryote
Description: bacterial SSU rRNA
Rfam family: Bacterial small subunit ribosomal RNA
Source: RNAcentral
UAGGGAAUCUUGCGCAAUGGGCGAAAGCCUGACGCAGCGACGCCGCGUGCGGGAAGACGGUCUUCGGAUUGUAAACCGCUUUCAGGAGGGAAGAAGCGAGAGUGACGGUACCUCCAGAAGAAGCCCCGGCCAACUACGUGCCAGCAGCCGCGGUAAUACGUAGGGGGCAAGCGUUGUCCGGAAUUAUUGGGCGUAAAGAGCUCGUAGGCGGCCCGCUAAGUCGGAUGUGAAAUCUCACGGCUCAACCGUGAAACUGCAUCCGAUACUGGCGGGCUUGAGGCAGGUAGGGGAAGGUGGAAUUCCUGGUGUAGCGGUGGAAUGCGCAGAUAUCAGGAGGAACACCAGUGGCGAAGGCGGCCUUCUGGGCCUGUACUGACGCUGAGGAGCGAAAGCGUGGGGAGCAAACAGGAUUAGAUACCCCCGUAGUCC